AAUUUUAGGGUGCACAGAAAUAGAACCCCACUUUCAAGUUCACUGAUAGAGAUUUCUUAGCAAUCCAGUAUGGCCAGAAUUUUUAUGCUUCGCUCUCACAAUGGUAUUAUUCCCUUUCUCUCUACUUUCCAUUAUUGUUCUGCAAUUUCAACAAGACCUUAUUCUUCAUAUCAUAGUAAUACAUCCAUUUCAGUAAACAUUAAAUUUGAGAAGGUAAAGUGUUUAGAUGAUGCUGUUACUCUCUUCCAUCAAAUGGUCAGAAUGAAGCCUCUUCCUUCUGUUGUAGACUUCUCUAAAUUAUUGAAGACUAUGCUAAAUAUGAAGCAUUACUCAGCUGUCAUUUCUCUUUUUCGAGAAAUGUGGACACUGGACAUCCCAAUUAAUGAUUUCAUCUUGAAUAUCGUGAUUAACAAUUAUUGCCUGAUGCAUCAUGCUGAUUGUGCAUUUUCGGUGUUACCCAUUUAUUUGAAGAAUGGCAUUCCAUUUGAUGUUGUCACCUUUAACACCCUAUUUAGGGGAAUCUUUGCUGAAAAUAAGGUCAAAGAUGCUGUUGAAUUGUUCAAAAAAUUGGUGAGAGAGAAGAUUUGUGAGCCUGAUGAAGUCAUGUAUGCAACUGUCAUGAAUGGGCUCAGCAAAAGGGGUCAUACUCAGAAAACUUUAAGUUUGCUCCGGUUAAUGGAACAAGGGAACACUAAGCCCAACAUAUAUAUCUACAGCAUCGUUAUAGAUGCUCUUUGCAAAGAUGGAAACUUAGAUUCUGCUAUCAACCUUCUGAACGAGAUGAAAUUGAAAGGCAUUCGUCCAGACAUAGUCACUUAUAGUUCUUUGAUUGAUGGUUUGUGUAAGCUUGGCCAGUGGGAAAAGGUUACGACUUUGUUCUCUGAGAUGGUAAAUCAUAAUAUUUAUCCAAAUGUGUGCACCUUCAACAUAGUGAUAGAUGGACUAUGUAAAGAAGGGAAGGUUGAAGAUGCUGAGGAAGUAAUGAAACACAUGGUCGAAAAAGGUGUAAAGCCUAAUAUAAUCACCUACAAUGCAAUAAUGGAUGGAUAUUGUUUGCAUGGUCAACUAGAUAGAGCGAGGAGAAAUUUCGAUCUCAUGAUAGAGAAGUGCACUGAGCCUAACAUUAUUAGCUAUAACAUACUAAUAAAUGGAUACUGUAAACAAAAGAAAUUGGGGGAGGCCAUGCAAUUGUUUCGUGAAAUUUCUCAACAGGGAUCAAAGCCUGAUAUUAUUACCUACAAUACUAUCCUGCAAGGUCUAUUUGAAGUCAGAAGAAUUGGCGAUGCAGAAAAAUUUUAUGCCGAGAUGCUAUCUGUGGGGCCCAUACCUGAUUUAAUCACUCAUCGCACUUUGCUCAAUGGUUAUUUUAAGUACGGACUUGUUGAAAAAGCUAUGUCCCUCUUUAAUAAGUUGGAAAGAAAGAGAGAAGAUCUUGGUAUUGUAUUUUACAAUGUUGUCAUUAAUGGAUUAUGCAAAAAUGGUAAACUCGAUGAAGCUCAUGCGAUUUUCGAGAAGCUUUCUUUGAUGGGAUUGUUUCCGGAUGUGAGAACAUACACUGUAAUGAUAAAUGGAUUUUGUCUUCAAGGGUUGUUUGAUGAAGCUAAAGAUAUGCUAAGAAGAAUGGAAGACAACAAUUGUUUUCCAAACAAUGUCACUUACAAUGUUAUUGUGCAAGGAUUUCUCAGGUUCAACAAAAUUAGUGAAAUGACAACUUUCAUGAAGGAAAUGGCUGGAAGAGGCUUCUCAUUUGAUGCAACUACAACUGAGUUUUUGGUAGACAUUCCAAGGGAGAAUCCUUCCGUCCUUGACAUGAUACCAGAGCUUCACUUGAAAAAUACGAAGUGAAUAUUUUUUUUCGCUUGGUUUAUUCGACUAGGCUAUCACCAUGAUACCAUUUCCUGUUUAUCCAUGCAAAAGAAAUAUCAUCCAAUGCAAUUGCAGAAGCUGAUGGCUAUUAGAACAUUGUCUGAGCUUUCUAGGCAGGCCUAUUGAGAAGCAAAUGUUUUCUUUGGCGGGGUUUCAUUUGAUUUGUUGUGGAUUGGAUGGUGGAAAACCAAGCAAGCACGAAGCGUGUCGUGGUUGGCACAUGGUUUUGGGUGUGAACGAGCAUAUGGAUAGUGGAGGUUAGGCUUAUAAAUGGUUUGCUUUUGUCUAAUUGAGAGUUUGUUUUGAAAAGGCCGACCCUCGGCGAAAGACUUCAAAGUGGUGAUUCCUUGUGCAUAGUUGUCGGAUUAGUUGUCUUGACACUGCAUGGUUUAUUUGUGUCUGGGAGGAAAGAUUUGAAAAGAGAAGGAAAAUAUGGUAAGGAUAGUGCAGGUGCAAGCCCUUUUUAAAGAGCACGGACGCUCCUCUGUGUCUUUGAUGGAUGGGAACUUGGAUUAGUCCAAUUUAAAUGUCCAUACUCACUUUGGUUCAUUUUGCUGGAAAAUGUUUUGGAAUUAAAAGAUGAAUUGUCUAAAUAAAUUACCAAAUUGGGCGCAGUGUGUAUGGGUGUGCUUCUGCAGGUACUAUUGCUUAGCUCUGCUCGUCUUUAUCGUGAAGUUGCUUCCAUCGCAUUAAUAAUUGUAAAAAGGUUACAAUUAAUUUGUUUUAUAAAAGGUUGCUA
Molecule: RNA transcript, 2605 nt
Organism: Lycium ferocissimum
Lineage: Eukaryota; Viridiplantae; Streptophyta; Magnoliopsida; Solanales; Solanaceae
Gene name: putative pentatricopeptide repeat-containing protein At1g12700, mitochondrial
Exons: 2
Source: RefSeq, a predicted model, not a curated record